AAAAAAAUAUUUAAUUAAUUAAUUAAUUAACUAAAUAAAAUAAAUAAAUAAAUAAAAUAUAACAAAUUAUUUUGGACUUGGGUCUCCCUCAUUUGAGCCCAUUACCCACGAAAAUCAGUCUAUAAAUACUGAGGUUUCAGUAGAGGAAAAGACACUUGGAGUUACACUGGGAGAUUCACUUGAGAAAAAGGGAGAGAAGCAAAAGUACUCUGAGGUUUCCUUAGAACAAAACCACGAGGAAAAAGAUAGUGAGAGAAGGAAACUUAGGAACUACUCUGCAGCAACCUCCAGGCAACUCUGAAAGGUUCAUUCUGACUCACAGACUUUCAACUCAAGCAAACCCUGCCAUUUGAUUUUUCUUCUCCAAUCAGGUUUGCCCUAUAUCCAUCAUCUUUAUGCCUUUAAUUUGAAUGCUCUAAAUAUAUGAGGUAUUAUGGGUGAAUUUGAUACCCUUUUGAUGCAUGUGUUUGACAAGAGGUUUAGGCCUCCUACCCUUUAUUGCUUUUUGUGAAUUGAAAGGGCAUGAUUCAUGUGGUUACAUUUUGAUUUGAGGGCAACUCUUGGUUACCCUAUUUUGUUUCACUAACCCUUUUGUUGAGUUUUUGUGAAGGCACAUGACUUUUG
Molecule: long non-coding RNA, 624 nt
Filed under: Lathyrus oleraceus (garden pea)
Lineage: Eukaryota; Viridiplantae; Streptophyta; Magnoliopsida; Fabales; Fabaceae
Description: Pisum sativum (pea) long non-coding RNA (PSAT_LNC027916)
Source: RNAcentral